This 148-nucleotide signal recognition particle RNA is filed under the name Homo sapiens (human). Its description in RNAcentral is "Metazoan signal recognition particle RNA". It matches the Rfam family "Metazoan signal recognition particle RNA". From Rfam's summary of the family: The signal recognition particle (SRP) is a universally conserved ribonucleoprotein. It is involved in the co-translational targeting of proteins to membranes. Lineage: Eukaryota; Metazoa; Chordata; Mammalia; Primates; Hominidae. The record is from Rfam by way of RNAcentral.
GCCGGGCGUGGUGACGCACGCCUGUAAUCCCAGCUACUUGGGAAGCUGAGACAUGAGAAUCACUCGAACCCAGGAGGCACAGGCUACAGUGAGCCUAGAUGGCGCCACUGCACUCCAGCCUGGGUGACAGAGUGAGACCCUGUCUCAA